GGCAGACGGGUGAGUAACGCGUGGGAAUCUACCUUUUGCUACGGAAUAACGCAGGGAAACUUGUGCUAAUACCGUAUGUGUCCUUCGGGAGAAAGAUUUAUCGGCAAGAGAUGAGCCCGCGUUGGAUUAGCUAGUUGGUGGGGUAAAGGCCUACCAAGGCGACGAUCCAUAGCUGGUCUGAGAGGAUGAUCAGCCACAUUGGGACUGAGACACGGCCCAAACUCCUACGGGAGGCAGCAGUGGGGAAUAUUGGACAAUGGGCGCAAGCCUGAUCCAGCCAUGCCGCGUGAGUGAUGAAGGCCCUAGGGUUGUAAAGCUCUUUCACCGGAGAAGAUAAUGACGGUAUCCGGAGAAGAAGCCCCGGCUAACUUCGUGCCAGCAGCCGCGGUAAUACGAAGGGGGCUAGCGUUGUUCGGAAUUACUGGGCGUAAAGCGCACGUAGGCGGAUCGAUCAGUCAGGGGUGAAAUCCCAGGGCUCAACCCUGGAACUGCCUUUGAUACUGUCGAUCUGGAGUAUGGAAGAGGUGAGUGGAAUUCCGAGUGUAGAGGUGAAAUUCGUAG
RNAcentral lists this ribosomal RNA (561 nucleotides) under Rhizobium sp. R2A2. RNAcentral describes it as "bacterial SSU rRNA". It matches the Rfam family "Bacterial small subunit ribosomal RNA", at positions 97 to 693 of the family's 1533-position model. Lineage: Bacteria; Pseudomonadati; Pseudomonadota; Alphaproteobacteria; Hyphomicrobiales; Rhizobiaceae. The record is from RNAcentral. RNAcentral also lists the same sequence under 1 other name.